GCCUGCAGCCAUACAGCUCUGACUUUUGAUCCAAUCAGAUUUUGUAAGGUAAGUCAUGUCAAGGCCUGGUCAGUAUUUGGAUAGGAGACCUAAAAGGGAUUUCACGUUUCUGCAGGAA
This 118-nucleotide ribosomal RNA is filed under the name Chrysemys picta bellii (western painted turtle). The record is from RNAcentral. Lineage: Eukaryota; Metazoa; Chordata; Testudines; Emydidae.